Molecule: ribosomal RNA, 406 nt
Filed under: uncultured bacterium
Lineage: Bacteria
Description: partial 16S ribosomal RNA
Rfam family: Bacterial small subunit ribosomal RNA
Source: RNAcentral
AUUGAACGCUGGCGGCAGGCCUAACACAUGCAAGUCGAACGAGUGGCGGACGGGUGAGUAAUGUCUGGGAAACUGCCUGAUGGAGGGGGAUAACUACUGGAAACGGUAGCUAAUACCGCAUACCAUCAGAUGUGCCCAGAUGGGAUUAGCUAGUAGGUGGGGUAAUGGCUCACCUAGGCGACGAUCCCUAGCUGGUAUGAGAGGAUGCCCAGCGAAACUGGAACUGAGACACGGUCCAGACUCCUACGGGAGGCAGCAGUGGAGAAUAUUGCACAAUGGGCGCAGGCCUGAUGCAGCCAUGCCGCGUGUGUGAAGAAGGCCUUCGGGUUGUAAAGCACUUUCAGCGAGGAGGCGUUACUCGCAGAAGAAGCACCGGCUAACUCCGUGCCAGCAGCCGCGGUAAUUC